Molecule: ribosomal RNA, 553 nt
Filed under: uncultured archaeon
Lineage: Archaea
Description: bacterial SSU rRNA
Rfam family: Archaeal small subunit ribosomal RNA
Source: RNAcentral
CUUCGGGGUGCCCAGGCGCGAAAACUCCACAAUGCGCGAAAGCGUGAUGGGGUUAACCCGAGUGCCGUCCGAUGAGGAUGGCUUUUCUUCAGUUUAAGGAUCUGGAGGAAUAAAGGGGGGGCAAGACUGGUGUCAGCCGCCGCGGUAAUACCAGCCCCCUGAGUGGUAGGGACGAUUAUUUGGCCUAAAGCGUCCGUAGCCUGUUUGGGAAGUCUUUCGUUAAAUCCGACGAUUCCAUCGUUGGGACGCGGAAGAUACUGCCAGACUUGAGGACGGGAGAGGUCGACGGUAGUCCUAGGGUAGGGGUGAAAUCCUAUAAUCCUAGGAGGACCACCAGUGGCGAAGGCGGUCGACUAGAACGUGCCUGACGGUGAUGGACGAAAGCUGGGGGAGCGAACCGGAUUAGACACCCGGGUAGUCCCAGCUGUAAACGAUGCGAGCUAGGUGUUGGAGCAACUACGAGUUGCUCCAGUGCCGCAGAGAAGUUGUUAAGCUCGCCGCCUGGGAAGUACGGCCGCAAGGCUGAAACUUAAAGGAAUUGGCGGGGGAGCAC